This is a long non-coding RNA of Leptinotarsa decemlineata (Colorado potato beetle), 723 nucleotides long. Lineage: Eukaryota; Metazoa; Arthropoda; Insecta; Coleoptera; Chrysomelidae. The record is from RefSeq and is a predicted model, not a curated record.
UGGUCUUGGCCUCAUCGAGUAUGUAGUAUUCGAAACCUAUCAAUUUGUAGAUUAUCAUUAUUAUAUUAGUUACUUUUCGUCGUAGGUUGUAGAAAGAUCAUUAUUUCGUUUUUUGUAGGACAAAGUCAACUACUGACAAUUCUAAAAAGAGUGAAGAGUUCAUUUCCACUUUUCCAAUAUCUGUUCAAGUUUCGGAAAGUGAUAAUAUCAGUGAUGAUGUUCAGUCAAUGUGUAGCAAAUAUCUCUCUGCCGUAGCCUCACCCUUUCAAAAUGUGGAAACGACUGAUAAGAUUACCCAAAGGUCUUGUAUAGACAUAUCUCUGCAGGGGCGACGUUUGACAGAUAUCGGAUAUUUAUUUAUUUCUGCAAUUAGCAUAAAUAUCUAAGCACCCACCAUUCGAUUGUACAUUGAGUGAUAUGUAUCCAAUUCAUGAAUAUAAAAUGGGUUUGAAAACCAAAGUUAGUAUGCAAAAUGUGCAAUAUCAAAAAAACAUUUAUCUUAUAGAAGAAACCGACGGAGGAAUGGACAUAAAUAGCGUUUUAACGUUGGCCACAGUUUCAACCGGAAAUGGCUACUCUACAGUAAAUGAGAUGCUCUUUGUUUUAAAUGUACCGUUCAUGAGUAACUCUACUUAUCAGCAACACCACGAAAAUGUAGCUGAUAUCAUUGAAGAGACUGCUUGGAAGGUCAUGGAGGAAGCAGGUCAAGAAGAGGCUCGAAUA